CUUGGCCUCCCAAAGCACUGGGUUGACAGGCGUGAGCCACUGCACCCAGCCUCUAAGAUGCGAAGGCUGUAGGGACUUCGGUGAUUGAAGCGGGAGGAGACAGUGAGAAGAAAAUACGGCCCGAACCCGAGCAGGGAGCCGGAGCAGAAGUAGAAAGUCAUGUCUGCGCGGGAGCUGCCGAUCCCACGGUCAAGUAGAACCAGAAGGGCGACGGUGGCGACCAGGAGCCCUCACAGUAGCAGCCUGAGGCUUCCAGCCCAGGAGGAGCCACAACCUCAAUAUUAGCAGCGUCUCUUCAGCACCAGUGCAUUCAGCAGGUUGCACCUGAAAGAGCUAGACAGCAUUUUCCCACGCUCUGAAUAUCCCGUGAUCGCCGAAAGCAGCUUGCAAUAUGCAUGGAUAUGAGUGAAGCCAAAGUGGAAGCCAGUAAGCCUGAUGAAAGCAAUUGGUCAGAGUAGCCACUCUGAAACCUGCCUCAGUCCUUGGAUACCUUUGUCCUACACAUUCUUAAAUUGGGCUGUUUUUGUUGCCUUUUCUAUGUUUGCCAAGUGAGUUUUGAACUUUAGUGGGGGAGUAAUGGGAUACAUAAACCUUAGCCUAUGGAAAUUUCCCAUUACCAGAGGGAAUAUGCUUUCUAAUGGAAAAAGAAAACGAAACAGAACUAAACUGUUACUUCUAUUUCCUGUACAAGAUUAAGUAUAAAUAAAGUUCCAUUCCUUCUAACAAUGGUAUCCUUUAGAGAACACUUCUGUGUAGAGUUAUAUUGGGACUGAGUCUGACUUGAGGAGUUGGCAAAUUAAUGCACCAAGGAGCUAUAUUGUGAGAAGGUUCAACUGUAUUUAAAAUAUUUAAACCAGGCUAUGUUCUUAGCUAAAUGACCGAAUUUAUAAAUAUUCAGGCAUUGGAGUGAGGGAAUAAGUUACACACAGAAAGAACACAUUAUAUGAGUAAUUAAUGUAUGUUUAGUUUCACUGAGACUGAUGGGGAGGACAUAGCUUAAAAGUCCAAGUGCCUGGUGGUCCUGCUGUUGUUUUUAAGGGUCUGAUGAAGCCAUGUAGAAAGUGGCAGCCCGAAAUUUUGAUUUUCUCAAAUACUUUGAUUUGUAAGCCUGAAUACACUGCUAAUAUACUGGUAUUACAGUGGGGGUGUGGGGAGGGGGCAGGUUUGCAAACUGGAUAUUUGUUUAAAAAUUGGAAUAAAAAAGAACAAUUAUUGAAUAAGUUUUCACUCACCUAAGAAGGGUGAAAAGGUUAAAGAAAAAUUGCAUACACUCAAAUAUAUACCUUGAAGAUAUGGCACAAAUGGAGCUCUAUGAGGGAAUAUUCUCUUUAGGAAUUUCUGACAACUAAGGAUUUUUUUUUUUUUUUAAUGUUACUUGGUGGGUUUCAUGUAAUUUGUUUGGUGGUGGGGUGGGGUACGCUCAAUUUAGACCAGGUUCUUACCUGUGCUAAUUUGAAAUGCUUUUUCAAUUUCCCAGGCAGUGAUGAUUAAUUUGUAGGUCAUGAGAUGAAGAAAUUGCUAAGAUUACUUAAGUAUUAUUGACCGAGUAUAUUUUCAAAACAAAAAGAAAAUCCAGGAUGAGGUUAUGAGCUGUGCUGUGCAGUUCGCGUGAGUGCAGUGAUGCGCCCACUCCGCCAUGACCAAGCCUUUUUUUUUCAGACCAUCUUUUUCACUCCCAAGAGUUUUCAGAGGAUGAAGGCCAGCCCAGUGGCUCACGCCUGUAAUCCCAGCAAUUUGGGAGGCCAAGGCGGGCAGAUCACGUGCUGUCAGGAGUUCGA
This is a long non-coding RNA of Chlorocebus sabaeus (green monkey), 1778 nucleotides long. RefSeq lists it as uncharacterized. The record is from RefSeq and is a predicted model, not a curated record. Lineage: Eukaryota; Metazoa; Chordata; Mammalia; Primates; Cercopithecidae.